This 266-nucleotide ribosomal RNA is filed under the name uncultured archaeon. Its description in RNAcentral is "partial 16S ribosomal RNA". It matches the Rfam family "Archaeal small subunit ribosomal RNA", at positions 717 to 982 of the family's 1478-position model. The record is from RNAcentral.
AGACGUCUACAUUAGAUACCCCGGUAGUCCCAGCCCUAAACGAUGCGCGUUAGGUGUAUCGGUGACCACGAGUCACCGAGGUGCCGAAGGGAAACCGUGAAACGUGCCGCCUGGGAAGUACGGUCGCAAAGGCUGAAACUUAAAGGAAUUGGCGGGGGAGCACCGCAACGGGAGGAGCGUGCGGUUCAAUUGGAUUCAACGCCGGACAACUCACCAGGAGCGACGGUUACAUGAAGGCCAGGCUGAUGACCUUGCCUGAUUUUCCG